Molecule: unclassified non-coding RNA, 211 nt
Filed under: plant metagenome
Description: partial contains small subunit ribosomal RNA, internal transcribed spacer 1, and 5.8S ribosomal RNA
Source: RNAcentral
UUUCCGUAGGUGAACCUGCGGAAGGAUCAUUCAUAAUAAAGUGUUUUAUGGCACUUUUUAAAAAUCCAUAUCCACCUCGUGUGCAAUGUUAGAUCUCGUCAAUCUUGGCGAGAUUUUUAUACAUCAACUCAUUCUUUAAUUAAUUUGUCUGAAAAAUAUUAUGAAUACUUAAUUCAAAAUACAACUUUCAACAACGGAUCUCUUGGCUCUC